CUGAGUUAAUCUUAUGUCUGAGAUCUGGAGGUGAAACCACCAGGCUGGGAGUGAAUGUCUGUUUUUCGCUUUGUCAUGUUCGAGUGGGCUGUGCCUGGGCAUCUCCCCAGAGCCGAGGUCAGCUGAGGUUUCAGUUUGAAAGAGUGGUAGCAGAUGGUGGCGUUCCUCAGAGAGGUGGCCUCAGAGGUGAACCAGGUUGCUGGAAAUACCUUUCCCCACCCUACACAAGAACGCCAAACAUCAGCCAUGGCAUCCCCCUUCAUUCACACCAGUGUCGUCUAGGGAAACCGAACAACGUCAGGGUUUUUAGGGGACAUAUUGUAUCUUGAGGCAUUUCAUCUGCAGAACCUGUCUAGGUGGGACACUGUUGGACACUUUCUUAGGACAAAUGAAAACUUCUGUGUGCUACUUGAAAGAGAAAGUACGCCCAGCGUUCCUUUCCAGAACUGGCAGUUACCACCACUCGCACUUUGGCUUCCGACCAGCUUUGACUGCAGGCUGGAGAAACUAUGUGGAGAGAAAGACAGAAAGAGACACCUGAGUGGUCCCAGAGAUUCCAUCGCCUGGCGAUCCGGCUCUUCCCAGUCCUGCACCAGACACGUGAGGGAGGGAGUCUUCAAAAGGAGCCCAGCCCCAGCCGCCAUGUGAAUGCAGCCUCCUGAGAGAUCCCAAACCAGAGCAACCCAGCCACAGCACUCCUCAUCGGACUCGCAGAAACGAUGAAAGAUAAGAAAUGAAUAUUGUUAUUUGAAGCCACUAAGUUUUGGGGUGAUUUGUCAUGCAGCAAUAGUUACAGAUUUUAUAGCUAACUAAUAUAGGCACUCUCCUACCUAGCUGGUGGUAGAUUAAAUUGGUGCAUCCUCCUUGGAGUGCGCAGUUUACUAAUGCCUAACUGAAAUAAUACCUACACAGGCCCUUUGCCCAGAUAGUCCACUUUUAGAAGUUUCCUAACAAAUAUACCCACACCUAUGCAAAGUGAUAUAUGUAUAUAUAUUUAUCACGGUAUUGUUUAAAUAGAAACAAUCAGAAAUAACCUAAAAGGCAAUUCAUAUUAUAAAUUAUAUAUUAUAAAUUAUAACAUUCAAUGGAAUAUUGUUCAGUCCAACAAAGAAUGAGGGUAUUCUUCACACGAUGCCAUGAAAAAAAAUCUCCAACAUAAUUUCCAAGCAAAACAAUAAUAGAAAAGGACGUGCAAGGCAGCGUGGACAGUGCAGUGGCAGCUAUGUAGGAGGAGGAGAAGCCUGUCCUUGUUCCUAACUGCGUGAAUAUGCAUAGAUUAUCUUUGCAAUGUACGCGAGGAACCUUCACGUCCAUUGCCUGGAGAAGAGAACUAAUGGCUGACAGACAAGAGGGCGACGGUGGGGCUUUACACUUCAAGACUUCUUAAUUUUAUACCAAGUGAAUAUAUUACCUAAUCAGGAAUAAAAAAAUAAAAAUUAACUUAAAAAAAAAGAAAUUUCUAUCAGCUGUUUUUGCUUUAACUUAACACUGUCUGGACUUUUAGAUCUUAGAGCUGGGUCUUCAAACCAAGGCAAUUCUGAGGGUCAAGCAGAGUUUCUUCCAGGGUGUACAUCCUGGAGGGUAAGGGAACCAGUUUCUAGACAGAGAAUGAAUACCAGUGCUCUUGCUUACAGUUCAGCUGUCUGGGAAAGUACCUUGCUGGGCUGGUUCUCCCUGCUUCUCUCCCAGGUUUCUUUCUCUCACUUGACAAAAGACAGGCAGACCUCUCGCCUGUCCUGCUUUUCACUCUGGGUGUUGCCUCAGAAUGGAAAGACCCCUUGGAGGCCAAACAAAGGAACAAUUCAAGAUAUUGGCACUGGUUUUGAGAAAGUGAACAACUUUAAAGGUUGAGAAAUAAAUCCUUUUGCAGAUCUAAUUCUUGCAAAAGGUAGUUUCCAAGAUUUUGCUUUCAAAAUAAUUGAAAGAGGACCUAUUGAGUUGUCAGCUGAUAGAACAUUAAAAAUUACGUUUGAUAAUGGAUCACAGGGCAGUUUUUUACAUAUAACUCAGAACUUCAAAGAAAUGAGUGAUGUUGCUAUAAGAAAACUCCUUCCAUGGCCAUCUGCUUAUUUAUAUAAAGAACGUUCCUCAGCACUAUUUUUAAAAACAAAAAAGAAUAAAAUUGAUGCUAUAAAUUAUACUCAGCCCUAAAAACUGAACUUGCUUAAAAACUAAAGCAGCUCUUUUCAUCUUACUAAGAGAUACAUUUCCAAUAAAAUUUCACUUUUAUGUUUAAUGAUUAUAGGUGGUCAAACCAUUAGAGUGAUAACACCGUCAAAAGUUGUUUUUUUUUACCCUUAGAGAAUAACAGUCACAGGAAAUCUUCUAAAAUUUAAAUUUGUUCCCAUACUUUUAUUGCCUUGAAGUAUGAUAGAAUGAUUUUUAAAAAAAGACUUUCAAGCAUACAGAUAGAUUACAUCAAGAGUAAAAUUCUUUGGGGGAAGCAGAAUGAAAUGAGCUGAAAUUGAAAAGGGAACAAUGUAAAAUUUCCUUGUGUUAAACACUAUUUUUUUGAUAUAUUUUUUAAACGACGAUGGCAGGUAUAAAAUGGCUGUGAUAUUUGGAUACAUUUUAAAGAAUAAUAUAACAAGGCUUCAAAAGUGUCCAUAUUUAUUAUGAUGGAAAUUACAUCUUUUGUUGAAGAAACAUUUUAAAUAACGUAAAACUGCAUAAGGGAGAAAGUUCUUCGAAUUCUUUAAGCAAAACACAGACAAAUAAUUCGAACCAUUGCCUUAGGGACCAUCUGAUCCAGCUCUCUUUACUUUGCAGAUGAAAAACUUGUCCAUCAAAGUGAAGUAACUUCCUCAAGGUCAAGUGACAAAUAAGACCAGAUCCUGGUCUCCUGCCUCCUGGUCCAGGCAGCCAGAUCUAAUCCAGGCAGCCUGCCUGGUAGGGAACAGAAGUCCCAUGAGGCAAGGACCAAGUCUGAGUUUUUAUUGCUCUAUUUCCAGUGCCGGUACAUAGGAGUGAGGAAGAUUGGCCCUGAGCUAACAUCUGUGACCAUCUUCCUCCAUUUUGUAAGUGGGAUGCCGCCACAGCAUGGCUUGAUGAGCAGCGUGUAGGUCUGCCCCUGGGAUCCGAACCCGGGAACCCUGGUCUGCUGAAGUAGAGUGCACAAACUUAACCACUACACCACCGGACCAGCCCCAGAGUGGAAGUUUUUUAAACAUACUUUGUAACUGAUAGAACGAGCAAACAAAGAUCAGAAGAACUUGGAGGACUGGAGCAACAUGAUUAAGAAAUCACCUGAUUCAUAACAUGGAGUGUUCAACGGCAGGGUACAUACUCUUUUAAAGCAUAUAUGGAAAAACUGACCAUAUACUGUGUCAUAAAGCAAGUCUCAACACAUUCCCGAGGACUGAAGUCAUACAGCGUAGGCUCUCUGACCACACUGCAGCCGAAAAGAAAUCAGUAACAAAGAGAUACCAGGAAACCCUCAUUUAUAGGGAAAUUAAGAAAUACGCCUCUAAGUAAUCCCUGUGUCAAAAAAGAAAACACAAUGCAAAUUAGAAAAUAUUUUGGGUGGCAUGAAAUGAAUGAAAAUGUUAUAUAUUAAAAUAGGGAGAAAUUUCUUGAUGUUAAAAUGUUGGACAUCAUAUAUCAACUUUUGACCAUAGAAAAGCUGGAUUUAACUCUUUGAAACCUCCUCAUGCCCCCCCCCCCCCAAAUAUUUCCCUUCUCCCCACUCCCCACCCUCUCAAAUGGUUAUAGCACAUAUUGGUUAAAUUAAUAUUCACUAUUUAUAUUAUUUUGGUUAUGUAAGUAUUUUUCAGAAAAUAUAUAUGGACUAGAUGUUGCCUUCAAGGCAGACCAGUCUUCCCCUCCUAUCUAUCCUAUUUACUUUCUUAUGCCUUUGCCAUCUCUGAACCUCCUCACCCAGCUGUCAAUGACAUCAGCUAACAGUUAAGCAGCUAACAACCUCCAGAAUCCAGACUGCCAGGGCCGAAGCUUCCCUGGAGCUGAUGGCAACUCAAGAUGGAAAGAGACGCGUUUGCAGAUUCCAAGAUGGCCAGAGCAAAGCUGAGGAUGCACAAGGGAAAUAGUGCUAAAAAAAAAUAAAGUAGAUGCUUUCACAGCAGAUGGGAAUAGCUGUUUCUUUUUGGCUAACUGUGAGAGCACAGAGCGAGAAUAGACUGAGAGUUGAGCAUGCUUAAUGAUUUUAUUACAGGGGAAAAACAAAAGUUCAAACUUUUUAAUUUUCCUUUUCAAUACCAAAAAAAAAAAAAAAAGGGAAAGAAAGAGAGGAAGGAGAAAGAGGCCGUUCCCAGGAUACAAAUCUAUUGCUUAAGGAAUGUUCCCCAGGAUACAAGCAUGUGCUUAUGAAUGAGAGCAGGUGGCGUUCUUCUGCUGUGACCCCCUAGGAGGCAGCCUCUUUAUCCACUAAGUGCAGGGGGUGGUGUAUAAAGAAAAGAAAGGGAGGGGAGCUUCUCUCACAGCCAGAGCAGGUGGGGAGGCAGAAAGCAAGUGUCUUCAUUACGGGCAGUGAAGCAGGAUGAACAGUUUGUUGUCCCAGCUUCCUGGUUAGAAGCCAAAGUGCAUUUUCAACUGAAGCAGGAAAUCUCUAGCACUUUCAGGAAUGGUUAGGUAUGGGGUAUACUCUUGUAUCAGCAUGGAAGAAGACAACAACAAAUAUUAUCUAUAAAAAAAGAGCUGGGGUUUUAUUUUUCUCCUAUUGAAAUAUAAAGAUUCCUACAGAAGAGCUGGAAACUUCACCACCAUUCAUUUUUUUCAUUCGUCCGACAGGUAUUUCUGGAACACUUACUGAGUACCCUGCACUGAGCUAAAGCUAGACUUUUCUCAGAAUGAACUGAGAGUCUGUGAGGGGAUGCAGAUACCAAAAGGCAGUCACGACAGCGUAAUAAGGUGAAACGAGGUGGAUUCAGGUGCUACCUGCGCCCAGGAGAGGUCGUGCUCCGUGCAGGCUGGGUGGAGGACGGGCUGCUUUUACGGAAACUGUCAUCUAAGGUGACACCUGAAACAUAAGGAUCUGUGGCACUGCAACUAUGGGAAAAUGUUAUAAAUCCAAGCUUAGGCCUUACGACAGACCUAACAGGCAUGGAAAUUUAAGUUUGCUCGUAUAUAAUUUCUUUCUAAAGCAAAGAAAGAAGUCACUCAUACUCGUUGCUAAGACUUCUGAUUUUUACCAAUUAUCUUGAGGCUGAAACCCUUUCUGUUGUUUCGCUUUCCACACGACCACCUAAAAAGGUCCCAGUCCACUCAUGUGCUUUGCUCCACUGCUUUCUGACCCGUUAUGCAGGGUUGCCUCAAAAUAUUUCUUGGGAAUUCAGGGAGAGUUCACGAUGGGGAAGGCUGGCGACUGCGUCUCAGAACUCGCUCUCAGCAAGCCCUCCAAAGGUAACCGGCCGAGCCCUGCUUUUGAUCAAAUUUUAAUGAUCACGCUGAUAUAAACUACUUUCUGUUCCUGAUCUAUUUCCCAGGAUCUUUCCUGCAGUUAAUCACCAGCUGAAUGGAUCCUGGGGCUCCAGGCCAAAGUGAAAAUGCUGCUCAGCUUGCAAGCAUCAUUACAGAGCACUUUGAUUAGCUCUGACUCACCCUGCGCCGUCUCCACAGCCUGCAAGAAGGCUGCCUGUUACCUUUGUUUCCUCCAGUUCCCAUGGAUACCACCUGAAGGGGCUUCGAAAGCUUCUAAUACCGGCUUCCUCUGUCUUUUGUGACUCUCCACCGAAAUUUCUUCUUCCCCUCAUCCCCGGCAAGAGUUGUAGCCAGAACAUGCUGUCCAGCCUGGGACUACGUUUCUCAGCCUCCCUUGAGCCACUUGAGGUUAUGUGUCUACACCUUCACCAAUGGAACUUGAGCAAGAGGGUGCCACACUCAAGCUGGAGCCCACUGCCUCCAUGAUCUUUUCCUAUUCCCUUUUGGUCUUGUUGGUGAAAACAUGUAAUGGUCUUAAAAUCCAUGAGUUGCUAUCAGACUUGGUGCCUAAGCCACGCAUCAACCCAGAGCCCUUGUCUGGAUGGCUUCACGACAGAGAAAGAAACAGCUUGUUCCUCAGCUCACCACAUUUUAGAGAUCUUUAUUAGAAAGCUUACGUUGCCCUAGCAAACUUGGCCACAACGCUCCAAGGUGGCCCAGGCUCUGCUCCACGUCCCCGGCUGUCAGGAGCUCACUGCCUGCUGCUUUAACUGACUGAGAUAUUAAAGAGUUCUUCAACGUUCCCAGUAGAAAUAACCAUGCUGCCACGUGCAUCCUCCAUGCUGGUCCUGCCCUUGGAAGCCAGGAAAAACCCUAUGGUCAUGUUUGGUUUUCAAGAGAGGAAAGAGUUGUUGACUCCAUCCAGAUGGGGACUGCGAGGGACUGGUCUGCCCUGGAGCCGGGGAAGGCUUCCAGUGGGUGCAGAGAACCAGAGCAGGAGCCUCUGAUAGACUUGCGAUGAUGCAUGUCCACUGGGAGCUCAGGAAGCAUAAAAGGAGCAUGUGCAGGUUUCUCCUGCAAAAGCCCGGGUCAGAGGCACAUCUCCAGCAGGACUGGCAUUCAGAAGGGCUACUUUGGGGAGACAGCUUCUUAAAAAAGGAGCAAUUUACGAUCUCAACAUUUUUGGAGAGAACGUGUUUUAUUCAUUCCCUGCCACAACCCACCUGUUGCAUAUGGCGCUGUGGGCAGCGCAGGAGUUACAGACUUACAGUUACUGGUUGUUCUUCAGACAGGCUGUGCCUUGUCUGGGGGAGGCGCGGAGAGAUGUUUCCUCAAACAGCCAAGAGCAAGAAGGCUAGAGGGAGUGCAUCCGUCAUGCUGGGGGUGCACCAAGGGUCAAGCGUAGGCAAACACAAUUCUGUGCACUCAAUGUGGCAUAUGGAACAUGUACAGAGAACCCGCCAGGAUGGCCGCCAAAAUGGAUGGAAAAUGGGAGAACGGAGAGGAGACGAUGGGGAGAGGCCAGGACAAUUUCCUGCACCAAUUGUCCUGGGUAAUCAGGACAGUCUCCCUGAGCAGACUGCUGUCCCGGCUUAUGUUUUAUUGCUUGGCCAGUGCACGGCAAGUCUGCUAGGUUUACAUUAAGGCGCAACACUCAGGAAAACAGCUGCCUUCAAAACAGUGAUUUUUGCUUUCUGGAGCUGCCCUAUCCUUUAGCAGUCUCACCUUCACUCUGCCGUC
Equus caballus (horse) is the source of this 7113-nucleotide long non-coding RNA. The record is from Ensembl. Lineage: Eukaryota; Metazoa; Chordata; Mammalia; Perissodactyla; Equidae.